UACGGAGGAUGCGAGCGUUAUCCGGAUUUAUUGGGUUUAAAGGGUGCGUAGGCGGACUGUCAAGUCAGCGGUAAAAUACGGGGGCUCAACCAUAAAAUUGCCGUUGAAACUGACGGUCUUGAGUGGGCGAGAAGUAUGCGGAAUGCGUGGUGUAGCGGUGAAAUGCAUAGAUAUCACGCAGAACUCCGAUUGCGAAGGCAGCAUACCGGCGCCCGACUGACGCUGAAGCACGAAAGCGUGGGUAUCGAACAGG
This 253-nucleotide ribosomal RNA is filed under the name uncultured bacterium. RNAcentral's name for it is "partial 16S ribosomal RNA". It matches the Rfam family "Bacterial small subunit ribosomal RNA", at positions 524 to 776 of the family's 1533-position model. The record is from RNAcentral.